AAAUAAAUAAAUCUUUAAAAAAAAAAGAGUAUAAGAACAUUUAUUUCAGUAUUGGGAAACCCUAAUAUUAAUCUAAUAUUCAUACCAAGUUAGGUAGCAUAAGCUCAUUAAAAUUCCAAGUUUCAUUGUUCCUGAUUGUAAUUACACCAAUUCAGUUUAGUAAAAUUACAUACCUCUUACUGAUUAAUAAAAACAGAAGCAAGAAUUGUCAUAAUCAUGUUAUUAUCUGGCUAUCAUUAUUGCAAAGUAACAAUCAAAGAUCACGUAAUUGCAAUAUGCUUAUAAAAACUCAGAUACUUCAAUGCAUCACAGUGUACAGCAUGUUUAGGAAUAGUGCACUUAAAAAAAAGGAAUAAUGCAUUUACUUCACCAUUCCCAAUGCAGGUGAGAACCAUCCUUCUCUAUGUUAAGGAAAAAAACCAAAGUUACAAAUACAUACAAUAUGUUUUUUACCUUGAACACUAACGCUUCGUUAAAAUCUUUAUUAGGGAACUGGAAAAUAUUAAUGUUCUUCUCUGUCUCCCCCACUAAACUGUAAGUUUCAUAAGUCAUGAAUCCUCCCUAUCUUUCUCAGAGCUUCAUCUCCAGAGUGUGGCAUAGCACGUGGAACACAAUAGGUGAGUGGUGUGGGGCAAAGCACAUUGACUUUGGAGUCAAAACCCUGGGAAUCAGAAUCAGACAUUUUCUCUGCAUUACAUGGACUAAAUAUGUAUUCCAUUACCUCUGAUUCUUGGUUUGCAUUCUUCCAGGUAUUCCAGGCCCGGAGGCCAAGUACCUCUUGGUGUAACCAUAAAACAGUAUCAGUAGGUCAAAGAAAGCAGAGUAAGAAUUAACUUUAUGAUGAGCACACAGGUCCUUUUUUAAUGGCUAUCUUCUGUAUCUCAAAGAUACCCCAGGAGAAAUGAGGGAAGUGAAUACUUUCUCACCAAAAUUCCACAAAUAAAGAAAUCAGAAAAAACGCUAAUGUGACAAAAGAAGAGAAUGCCUGAAGGUCUAGUCUCAAGACAGGUCAAGACUCAUAAAAACAAAGCCUGAGAGAAAGCCACCAGAUUGCAUAGCCAUGUGUUCCUCUCCUUGACUCCAGGACCAUGCCCAGGAGGAGGGCAUGAAGCAGCAUUUCAGGCAAUUGGCAGUGAACAACUAGCGGAAUCUCUUUCUUACAUAACAGUUUUUCUUUUUCUUUUAAUGUAUUUAUUUUCUCCUCCCUCUUGCUGCCUUCUGCUGUGCCAGACAAAGAUGCCUAUGGUUAUUUGGCACGACUAGUAAAGGAGCUAAAAGUGGCUUUUCGGUACUUCAUAGACUAUAAAUGAAUCCCAAAUUAAAAAAACAAUCAGCAUGAGUCAAGAUACAGGCAUCUUUCAGGCAUUAUCAUAAGAACCAGAAGAGAGAUGGGAAAGUGGCUAAGGAAUAGAAAGCCACAGAGCUCUGGAAGAAAAAUCAAAUGUAACAAGUACAGUCAAAUACAACAGAAAUCACAGGAAUGGCAACAUCUUUUUUUUAAGUUCAGUUUAUAAAAUCCAACCAUCUGCAUAAUUCUACCUUUGUCUAGUAAACUGCAAAUGUUGUAGGAAACACUAUGAUCUCAUUCAAAAAUAGGUUUUUCAAUAGACAUUUCUGCAGAUUUACUCUAGUGAGAGUUUAAAAACAAAUCAAUCGAGGCAGCUCAGAACAAAAUAACAGGUUGGAUCCACACACCUACUCAUAUUAACACUGUCUGCAGCAUGUGGAAUCAUUCAUGAUUUAAUUUUCCCCCUAAGUCUAAAAUAUAUUUGUAUUUAGUGUGUAUGUAUAUAGAAAUAUUUUAUUCAUCCAAAUUAUUCUACAAUUGAGGUUCUAUUUUCAUCUAUAUUUGAAGAUGACAGUAUGCACCAAAUACUAAAAUUAAAGAUCAAGAUUAGAAAUGGUGCCAGGUAUGACCAAGUUCUCAUAAUUUAUAACUGGUAAAGGAAGAAAUAAAUUAUAACCGCCAUAGACUAAAUUAUUUGUUAGCACUUAUUAUUGUUCUCUUAUGAAGAUACUACAAGAGUAUUUUUCAUCUUCUGGACAAGUAAGUAAGAUGGGUGUUUAUAUCUCCAAUAGAAGUGAACACAGAAGAAUGAAAUGAAACCCAAUCUUCCUGGUCUGUACAAAGCCAUGUUACUGAGCAAGUCAUCCAUUGCCCUAAAUAAACAAGUCCAUCUUCUCUUUCCUAGACUAUAGAUAUCAAAUGAUUUCUUAGUCCCUUCCUCAGAGACUAGUGGCAGAUUGGUAAGAAAAUGAAAUACAAGCUGGCCCAUCCUACUGCACUCAAGUAGUUUCAACAUGGCAUAUAAAAAGAUGCUUGGGUGGCCUAGUGAGUUAAGCGUCUGACUCUUGAUUUUUGCUCAGGUCAUGAUCUCAGAGUUGUGAGAUCGAGUUCUGUGUCCGGUUCUGCACUGGGCAUGGAGCCUGCUUAAGAUUUUCUACCCUCUUUUCUCUAUCCCUUCUCCCUCUCUAAGAAAAAAGAAAAGAAAAGAAAAUGAAAAGAAUACACUUAAUAUUCCUGGAGAGAAGUUUGGGUCCCUCAGGGUUUAUUUCAGCCAUACUAUGUCUCCCUAUCUUACUAGAGCAAAAUAAUAUGGCCUACUCUCUGGCCACAGAAAGUUUACUAAUAAUUAUAUCAGCUAACAGUAAUAUAAAUCUUGCAUGGAGCACUCCUAACCAUGCCAAAAGCCAUGACAAACUAUAUAUACACUUGAAUGUUCUGAAAAACUAUCAGAGAAAAUUCUCCUUUACUUGUCAUGUUUCUCUCAAACCCUUGAAUAUUAUUUUAAUUUCCAACACAUGGAAAGAAGUUUCAGAUAAAAUCUACAUUUUCAGAGAAAGCCUGUAGGUCAGUUAGAACAGAGAGAUGUCCAUAAUGACUCUGAAUGCUUCACACUAUUUCAGUGGGUAACAAAUAAGCCACACAUGUGGCCAUGACAAUUGUUAAGUUCCCUUACCACAUUUCUAGACAGGUAGAAAGUUCAGAGUUCUCAGGAAUUUGGGGCAUGAUGCCUCUACAAACAGGCUGAGGAGUAGUCCCUUACAAGGACAGGCUAAGCAGUCUCUUUUGCUCAACAAACAGGUUACUUAACAACCACAGAAAAUAUAUGUCAUUUGUCUCUGGGCAUGGUCUAGCUUAGCCCCAUCAGGUAUUCUGUGACUCUAAGAAUUUUUUAAAAAAUUAGUCUCAUUUGUAAAACUACAAUACAUAGAUGUACUAAUAAAAAAAUUGUUGGGGGGGGGGGCACCCAGGUGGCUCAGUGGUUGAGCAUAUGCCUUUGGCUCAGGUGAUGA
This is a long non-coding RNA of Canis lupus familiaris (dog), 3297 nucleotides long. RefSeq lists it as uncharacterized. The transcript has 3 exons. Lineage: Eukaryota; Metazoa; Chordata; Mammalia; Carnivora; Canidae. The record is from RefSeq and is a predicted model, not a curated record.